RNAcentral lists this unclassified non-coding RNA (350 nucleotides) under soil metagenome. RNAcentral's name for it is "partial contains 5.8S ribosomal RNA, internal transcribed spacer 2, and large subunit ribosomal RNA". The stretch from base 1 to 120 matches the Rfam family "5.8S ribosomal RNA", at positions 35 to 154 of the family's 154-position model. The record is from RNAcentral.
GAUGAAGAACGUAGCGAACUGCGAUAAGUAAUGUGAAUUGCAGAAUUCAGUGAAUCAUCGAGUCUUUGAACGCACAUUGCGCCCCCUGACAUUCCGGGGGGCAUGCCUGUCCGAGCGUCAUUGCUGCCCUUCAAGCCCGGCUUGUGUGUUGGGUCGUCGUCCCCCCCGGGGGACGGGCCCGAAAGGCAGCGGCGGCACCGCGUCCGGUCCUCGAGCGUAUGGGGCUUUGUCACCCGCUCGAUUAGGGCCGGCCGGGCGCCAGCCGGCGUCUCCAACCUUCUAUUUUACCAGGUUGACCUCGGAUCAGGUAGGGAUACCCGCUGAACUUAAGCAUAUCAAUAAGCGGAGGA